CAGCAACUAACACAUCUAAAUAUAAUGACAACGUACAAAAAUAAUGAGAACUUCAUAUCAGUUUUAUUUUGCCACACACCCGCGUCAAGCUCACCGAAAAUGACGACUAUCUUUUCCCGAAUAGUUAAGUUUUCUAUUGCUUACCCAGUUACCCGAGGAAUGGCUUCAUACGCAGUUAUAUGGCCAACCGGAUGUUUAAUACAACAAGUAGCAUUUGGAGAUGAUGAAUUUGACCUUGCCAGAGCCGCUCGAUUUGGACUUUUUGGAGCAUUUUAUGUGGCUCCAACUUUAAAUGCUUGGCUAACUGUUGCACGUUACUUGUAUCCAAAGAAUGAUCUUCGAAGUGCAAUUAUAAAAGCACUUAUAGAACAAGUAACUUAUUCACCUUGUGCUAUGGUGAGCUUUCAUUUCGGAAUGUCUUUACUGGAGGGUAAGACGGUCAGUGAAGCGAAAAAAGAAGUAGAAAAAAAGUUCUUGCCUACAUACAAGGUGGAUAUAAAAUGUUGAAAUAAUAAUGGUUGGGGUAAGUUUGAAGAGCAAAAUUAUGUUUUCCCUACAAUAGUAGGCAGGGUAUUUAAUGUGUGGGUAUAAUUGUUUGGCCUAUAUUACAAGUGUUCAAUUAUACAAUGAUUUCAGAAAAAAAUAGAAUUCCAUUUG
This 657-nucleotide unclassified non-coding RNA is filed under the name Sipha flava (yellow sugarcane aphid). RNAcentral describes it as "pXMP2/4 family protein 4-like, transcript variant X2". The record is from RNAcentral. Lineage: Eukaryota; Metazoa; Arthropoda; Insecta; Hemiptera; Aphididae.